This 433-nucleotide ribosomal RNA is filed under the name uncultured bacterium. RNAcentral's name for it is "partial 16S ribosomal RNA". It matches the Rfam family "Bacterial small subunit ribosomal RNA", at positions 29 to 507 of the family's 1533-position model. The record is from RNAcentral.
AACGAACGCUGGCGGCAUGCCUAACACAUGCAAGUCGAACGGGACCUUCGGGUCUAGUGGCGCACGGGUGCGUAACGCGUGGGAACCUGCCCUUAGGUUCGGAAUAACUCCCCGAAAGGGGUGCUAAUACCGGUUAAUGUCUUCGGACCAAAGAUUUAUCGCCUUUGGAUGGGCCCGCGUUGGAUUAGCUAGUUGGUAGGGUAAAAGCCUACCAAGGCGACGAUCCAUAGCUGGUCUGAGAGGAUGAUCAGCCACACUGGGACUGAGACACGGCCCAGACUCCUACGGGAGGCAGCAGUGGGGAAUAUUGGACAAUGGGCGAAAGCCUGAUCCAGCAAUGCCGCGUGAGUGAUGAAGGCCUUAGGGUUGUAAAGCUCUUUUACCCGGGAUGAUAAUGACAGUACCGGGAGAAUAAGCUCCGGCUAACUCCGUG